Molecule: ribosomal RNA, 500 nt
Filed under: uncultured bacterium
Lineage: Bacteria
Description: bacterial SSU rRNA
Rfam family: Bacterial small subunit ribosomal RNA
Source: RNAcentral
CCUUCGGGAUGCUGACGAGCGGCGGACGGGUGAGUAAUGCUUAGGAAUCUGCCCAGUAGUGGGGGAUAGCCCGGGGAAACCCGGAUUAAUACCGCAUACGCCCUACGGGGGAAAGCAGGGGAUCUUCGGACCUUGCGCUAUUGGAUGAGCCUAAGUCGGAUUAGCUAGUUGGUAGGGUAAAGGCCUACCAAGGCAACGAUCCGUAGCUGGUCUGAGAGGAUGAUCAGCCACAUCGGGACUGAGACACGGCCCGAACUCCUACGGGAGGCAGCAGUGGGGAAUAUUGGACAAUGGGGGCAACCCUGAUCCAGCCAUGCCGCGUGUGUGAAGAAGGCUUUCGGGUUGUAAAGCACUUUCAGCGAGGAGGAAGGCUUUCAGACUAAUACUCUGGAGGAUUGACGUUACUCGCAGAAGAAGCACCGGCUAACUCCGUGCCAGCAGCCGCGGUAAUACGGAGGGUGCAAGCGUUAAUCGGAAUUACUGGGCGUAAAGCGCGCGUA